AUGAGUCUCCUAUGCUGGAACUGCCGUGGAAUUGGCAAAGCCGCGACAGUUCGGUUGCUUUGCAACCUCGCAAGGCAGUUUGCCCCGUCUAUUCUUUGUAUUCUUGAAACACAAAUAGAGGGUUCGAGGGUAGAGAAUUUGGCAGAUGGUUUAGGAUUCAAUAAAAGUUAUGCAGUCAGUAGUUCUAGACAGAGUGGUGGUCUUUGUAUUUUCUGGAAUGAUGAAAUAAAAGUGGAAGUUAUCGGUUACUCGGGGUACCAUAUUGAUGUAUUAGUAGAGAAUAUGGUAGAUAUGCAGGUCAGAAUCACGUUUGUCUAUGGAGAGGCUCAGGUACCGGAAAGGCACAACACUUGGAAUACUGAAUAUAACUGA
Molecule: ribosomal RNA, 372 nt
Filed under: Triticum aestivum (bread wheat)
Lineage: Eukaryota; Viridiplantae; Streptophyta; Magnoliopsida; Poales; Poaceae
Description: partial small subunit ribosomal RNA
Source: RNAcentral